This 642-nucleotide ribosomal RNA is filed under the name uncultured bacterium. RNAcentral describes it as "bacterial SSU rRNA". It matches the Rfam family "Bacterial small subunit ribosomal RNA", at positions 92 to 723 of the family's 1533-position model. The record is from RNAcentral.
AGAGCGGCGGACUGGUGAGUAACGCGUGGGUGACCUGCCCUUAGGAUGGGGAUAGCCAUUAGAAAUAGUGGGUAAUACCGAAUGUGGUUACGAGACUGUGGUCUUGUAAAGAAAGGAGCUACGGCUCCGCCUAAGGAUGGGCCCGCGUCCCAUUAGCUAGUUGGUGAGGUAACGGCCCACCAAGGCGAUGAUGGGUAGCCGGCCUGAGAGGGUGAACGGCCACACUGGGACUGAGAUACGGCCCAGACUCCUACGGGAGGCAGCAGCUAAGAAUAUUCCGCAAUGGACGAAAGUCUGACGGAGCGACGCCGCGUGGAUGAAGAAGGCCGAAAGGUUGUAAAAUCCUUUUGUCGAUGAAGAAUAAGCAUGGGAGGGAAUGCCCGUGUGAUGACGUUAGUCGGCGAAUAAGCCCCGGCUAAUUACGUGCCAGCAGCCGCGGUAACACGUAAGGGGCGAGCGUUGUUCGGAAUUAUUGGGCGUAAAGGGCGCGUAGGCGGUCCUGUAAGCCCGGCGUGAAAACCUGGAGCUCAACUCCGGGCCUGCGCUGGGAACUGCGGGACUAGAGUCAUGGAAGGGAAGUUGGAAUUCCAGGUGUAGGGGUGAAAUCUGUAGAUAUCUGGAAGAACACCGGUGGCGAAGGCG